CAGUCGCCGCGGUAAUACGGAGGAUCCGAGCGUUAUCCGGAAUUAUUGGGUUUAAAGGGUGCGUAGGCGGAUAGAUAAGUCAGUGGUGAAAGACGGUGGCUCAACCAUCGCAGUGCCGUUGAUACUGUUUAUCUUGAAUAUGGAUGAGGUAGGCGGAAUGUGGCAAGUAGCGGUGAAAUGCAUAGAUAUGCCACAGAACACCGAUUGCGAAGGCAGCUUACCAAGGCAAAAUUGACGCUGAGGCACGAAAGCGUGGGGAUCGAACAGGAUUAGAUACCCGAGUAGUCCCUGUCUCUUAUAC
Molecule: ribosomal RNA, 301 nt
Filed under: uncultured bacterium
Lineage: Bacteria
Description: partial 16S ribosomal RNA
Rfam family: Bacterial small subunit ribosomal RNA
Source: RNAcentral